RNAcentral lists this unclassified non-coding RNA (604 nucleotides) under Hevea brasiliensis (rubber tree). The record is from RNAcentral. Lineage: Eukaryota; Viridiplantae; Streptophyta; Magnoliopsida; Malpighiales; Euphorbiaceae.
AAAAAGAAGAAGAAAAGAAAGAAAAAGAAGGUCAAUAAGGGGAACAUCGGCAGCUACAAUGAUGAGGCUUUCGGGACAACCUGAGUGGCGUUGAAGAAAAUUUUCGAUAUGGGAAACUGAACUCACAAGCUUAGUGACUGAAUUUUGAGUUAUAUUUUCAUCAUUUCUGCUUUGAGUAAAUGCUUUUAGCAAGUGUGCACGCAGCCAAAAAAUCCUGCAACUUGGAGGGCACAGAAGGCCAGGUAAUCAUGCAAAGAACCAAGCAACAACGUAAACCCAAAACAUGUUUUCAUUAGGAGUAGACCUAACAUGAGACCUACAAGACACUGGUUGCUGAAAAUGUGCCUUUGAAAUUUUAUCUUGAGAACAGGACAUAGAUUCUCGUGUCUGGGCAUGGGCUGUCUGGCUUUUCUUCCCCUUUGGAGCUUCUCUGUAGGGUCAUCUCCCCAUCGUGAAGGCCCCAUUACAAGUACAAAAUGAAUGUGAUGUGCUUUCCCCCUUCUUUUUUUUCCUUCCCUUUUUCUUUUUGUAUUACUUUAAGGCUUGAUAAUGAUGCCUGGGACUAUAAAAGAUUGACCUGAACAUCAAAGAAACAAAAAGAAAG